AGCGAAAAUUAAAUUAAAUAAAUCAAAACAAAUAAAUCAAAACAAAAGUGAAAAUUAAUAAAACAAAGUUGUUAAUAGUACUGCUGAUUAAAUGUUUUAUCUAUAUUAUAUAAAUAAUUGUAUACAAAAUGAUCCAGAGUCAACUAAUUCAUCGAUCUAAAAAGUGACUUCAUCAUAUCCGAAGAAGUAUUUCCCUACGUAACUUGGCUCUAGCUGAUAGAGGAUUCUUUCAGGAUCUCUUUCCAGACACCGCUGGGUAAACAACAAUCAAUCUACGCCGGCUUUGAUCAAGCUGCCGAUAGUCUAACGUUGGCAAUCUCCUGGUAAUAAUUGGACUUCUGCAUGGCAUCGAGAAAGACACAAUCCAAUUGCGUUAGUUGGAAUACGGGUCUUAUCGGUAAUCCUAGUGGCAAAACAAAACGAAAUAAACUAGGGUUGUCGGUCAUUGAGACAAAUUAGAGUCGUCAACAAUGCAUCAUGGUAAGAAAAUCUGAAUGUAGAGGACUUUGUUGCCAAUAUGGGAAGACACUUUCGAAUGGGAUUACUGCUCUCAAUAUCGUCAGUCCAGUCGCGACUUAAUAGUGCAGCUAGAAUGAGCUAUCCGUGGCAUGAUGGUUAGUGCGUUGGACUGUCAUGCUAGAGGUCUUGGGUUCGAUCCCUGCCUAUGCCAUCUAAAGUCUUUUCACGGGUACUGCCUCUUGCGAGGAAUUGACAAAUUCUCCAAGAGUAACUAUUGUCAUGAAAAA
Eupeodes corollae is the source of this 746-nucleotide long non-coding RNA. RefSeq lists it as uncharacterized. The transcript is spliced from 3 exons. The record is from RefSeq and is a predicted model, not a curated record. Lineage: Eukaryota; Metazoa; Arthropoda; Insecta; Diptera; Syrphidae.